Molecule: long non-coding RNA, 296 nt
Filed under: Mytilus galloprovincialis (Mediterranean mussel)
Lineage: Eukaryota; Metazoa; Mollusca; Bivalvia; Mytilida; Mytilidae
Source: RNAcentral
UAGUACUGUCUAUAUAACGAAGUGCAUUUAAUGUUCACAUGUUUAAUCUUAUUUAUAAAAGUACAUGUAUAUAUAAUAUAUAUUUGAUGGUUCACAAUUAUAACUUCCAAUACAAAACGUUACUAAAUUCCAGCUCUAUAAAACAACAUGUUACUUCAAGCUACUACUCUAACAUCUGACCAAUACAUAAAGUUUCUCACAAGAUCCAGCUAUAAACAUGUUCUUAAUUUAUGUAAGGCAUUGAUUAAUGGUCUUAGAUUAUUUGGAUAAACUAUUGCAGUUCAACUGUGCAACUA